This is a non-coding RNA of Mycena crocata, 95 nucleotides long. The record is from the annotation of a GenBank genome assembly. Lineage: Eukaryota; Fungi; Basidiomycota; Agaricomycetes; Agaricales; Mycenaceae.
CACCUGAUAGCACAAUGGUUAGUGCGUCUGCAAUUAUUAGUAUGCAUUUGAUCCGGUUUAUGCAAAAGACCCCCGUUCGAUUCGGGGUCGGGUGA